Molecule: ribosomal RNA, 472 nt
Filed under: uncultured bacterium
Lineage: Bacteria
Description: partial 16S ribosomal RNA
Rfam family: Bacterial small subunit ribosomal RNA
Source: RNAcentral
AUUGACCGCUGGCGGCAGGCCUAACACAUGCAAGUCGAGCGGGGACUUCGGUCCUAGCGGCGCACGGGUGAGUAAUGCUUGGGAAUCUGCCCAGUAGUGGGGGAUAACGUCCCGAAAGGGACGCUAAUACCGCAUACGUCCUACGGGAGAAAGAGGGGGAUCUUCGGACCUCUCGCUAUUGGAUGAGCCCAAGUCGGAUUAGCUAGUUGGUAGGGUAAUGGCCUACCAAGGCGACGAUCCGUAGCUGGUCUGAGAGGAUGAUCAGCCACACUGGAACUGAGACACGGUCCAGACUCCUACGGGAGGCAGCAGUGGGGAAUAUUGGACAAUGGGCGAAAGCCUGAUCCAGCCAUGCCGCGUGUGUGAAGAAGGCCUUCGGGUUGUAAAGCACUUUAAGCGGGGAGGAAGGUUCGCGGCCUAAUACGUCGCGGAAUUGACGUUACCCGCAGAAUAAGCACCGGCUAACUCUGUG